Molecule: ribosomal RNA, 305 nt
Filed under: uncultured bacterium
Lineage: Bacteria
Description: partial 16S ribosomal RNA
Rfam family: Bacterial small subunit ribosomal RNA
Source: RNAcentral
UCCCUACGGGGGGCAGCAGUGGGGGAUAUUGCACAAUGGGGGGAACCCUGAUGCAGCGACGCCGCGUGGGUGAAGAAGCGCCUCGGCGCGGAAAGCCCUGUCAGCAGGGAAGAAAAUGACGGUACCUGAAGAAGAAGCCCCGGCUAACUACGUGCCAGCAGCCGCGGUAAUACGUAGGGGGCAAGCGUUAUCCGGAUUUACUGGGUGUAAAGGGGGCGCAGACGGCGAUGCAAGCAGGGAGUGAAAGCCCGGGGCCCAACCACGGGACUGCUCUUGGAACUGCGGGGCUAGAGGGCUGGAGGGGG